This 278-nucleotide non-coding RNA is filed under the name Clostridia bacterium. Its description in RNAcentral is "T-box sequence". It matches the Rfam family "T-box leader". Rfam says of the family: Uncharged tRNA acts as the effector for transcription antitermination of genes in the T-box leader family. T-boxes are found upstream of many aminoacyl-tRNA synthetase genes and some amino acid biosynthetic genes usually in Gram-positive bacteria. Lineage: Bacteria; Bacillati; Bacillota; Clostridia. The record is from RNAcentral.
UCAAUAGUAAUGAUGGGGAGAAGUAAUUUGUGGAUGCUUGUGUGCAGGUGCAUUAUGGUGCCUUGCACGGCCAGAGAGCCGGCAGAAGGUGCGAGCCGGCAGCAGAAGCUUAAGAAAUACACCCUUGAACUGCGGGCUGAAAGGUAUCGAGUAGGUCUUGCCGGAAGCUUCCUCCGUUAUAAAUGGAAGGGAAUAUGCAAGUAUUCUGAAAGAGGGUUUUGCAGACCAGUUUGCUGCAAGGCCAAUUAGGGUGGUACCGCGAGCCAUUCGUCCCUUUA